RNAcentral lists this ribosomal RNA (309 nucleotides) under Triticum aestivum (bread wheat). RNAcentral describes it as "partial small subunit ribosomal RNA". The record is from RNAcentral. Lineage: Eukaryota; Viridiplantae; Streptophyta; Magnoliopsida; Poales; Poaceae.
AUGUGGAGUUCUGGUGGGCAGCGGCUGUUUAUGUGGAGUUCUGGUGGCCAGCAAUACUGGGCGUCACUGUCAUGUGGAGAUGAUCUUUGUUUCUUCCACAACCUCAAUGAGAAGGCAAUGCUCUCGUUUAACUUUUUGUUUCGUAACCGAGCAUUUGUUCAUGCUGUUUGUUUGACCCGCAGAGCGCGUACUUUUAACGAGUAUUCACUGUAUUCAUCGUGCUGUGGAAACAUGCUACUCAUAAAUAUGCAAUGGCGCCGAAAACUUUCUACUGUUGGUUCUCUUGGUCAAGUGUGUGUCAAGUGCUGA